UACGGAGGAGGCAAGCGUUAUCCGGAAUUAUUGGGCGUAAAGCGUCCGCAGGCGGCACCUCAAGUCUGCUGUCAAAGACCGGGGCUUAACCCCAGAAAGGCAGUGGAAACUGAAGUGCUAGAGUGCAGUAGGGGUAGAGGGAAUUCCCGGUGUAGCGGUGAAAUGCGUAGAGAUCGGGAAGAACAUCGGUGGCGAAAGCGCUCUGCUGGACUGCAACUGACACUCAGGGACGAAAGCUAGGGGAGCGAAUGGG
RNAcentral lists this ribosomal RNA (253 nucleotides) under uncultured bacterium. Its description in RNAcentral is "partial 16S ribosomal RNA". It matches the Rfam family "Bacterial small subunit ribosomal RNA", at positions 524 to 776 of the family's 1533-position model. The record is from RNAcentral.